RNAcentral lists this ribosomal RNA (468 nucleotides) under uncultured bacterium. Its description in RNAcentral is "partial 16S ribosomal RNA". It matches the Rfam family "Bacterial small subunit ribosomal RNA", at positions 28 to 507 of the family's 1533-position model. The record is from RNAcentral.
GACGAACGCUGGCGGCGUGCUUAACACAUGCAAGUCGAACGGAAAGGCCCUGCUUUUGUGGGGUGCUCGAGUGGCGAACGGGUGAGUAACACGUGAGUAACCUGCCCUUGACUUUGGGAUAACUUCAGGAAACUGGGGCUAAUACCGGCUAGGAGCUCCUGCUGCAUGGUGGGGGUUGGAAAGUUUCGGCGGUUGGGGAUGGACUCGCGGCUUAUCAGCUUGUUGGUGGGGUAGUGGCUUACCAAGGCUUUGACGGGUAGCCGGCCUGAGAGGGUGACCGGCCACAUUGGGACUGAGAUACGGCCCAGACUCCUACGGGAGGCAGCAGUGGGGAAUAGUGCACAAUGGGCGGAAGCCUGAUGCAGCAACGCCGCGUGCGGGAUGACGGCCUUCGGGUUGUAAACCGCUUUCGCCUGUGACGAAGCGUGAGUGACGGUAAUGGGUAAAGAAGCACCGGCUAACUACGUG